Molecule: ribosomal RNA, 1346 nt
Filed under: uncultured bacterium
Lineage: Bacteria
Description: partial 16S ribosomal RNA
Rfam family: Bacterial small subunit ribosomal RNA
Source: RNAcentral
GACGAACGCUGGCGGCGUGCUUAACACAUGCAAGUCGAACGGAAAGGCCCUGCUUUUGUGGGGUGCUCGAGUGGCGAACGGGUGAGUAACACGUGAGUAACCUGCCCUUGACUUUGGGAUAACUUCAGGAAACUGGGGCUAAUACCGGAUAGGAGCUCCUGCUGCAUGGUGGGGGUUGGAAAGUUUCGGCGGUUGGGGAUGGACUCGCGGCUUAUCAGCUUGUUGGUGGGGUAGUGGCUUACCAAGGCUUUGACGGGUAGCCGGCCUGAGAGGGUGACCGGCCACAUUGGGACUGAGAUACGGCCCAGACUCCUACGGGAGGCAGCAGUGGGGAAUAUUGCACAAUGGGCGGAAGCCUGAUGCAGCAACGCCGCGUGCGGGAUGACGGCCUUCGGGUUGUAAACCGCUUUCGCCUGUGACGAAGCGUGAGUGACGGUAAUGGGUAAAGAAGCACCGGCUAACUACGUGCCAGCAGCCGCGGUGAUACGUAGGGUGCGAGCGUUGUCCGGAUUUAUUGGGCGUAAAGGGCUCGUAGGUGGUUGAUCGCGUCGGAAGUGUAAUCUUGGGGCUUAACCCUGAGCGUGCUUUCGAUACGGGUUGACUUGAGGAAGGUAGGGGAGAAUGGAAUUCCUGGUGGAGCGGUGGAAUGCGCAGAUAUCAGGAGGAACACCAGUGGCGAAGGCGGUUCUCUGGGCCUUUCCUGGCGCUGAGGAGCGAAAGCGUGGGGAGCGAACAGGCUUAGAUACCCUGGUAGUCCACGCUGUAAACGGUGGGUACUAGGUGUGGGGUCCAUUCCACGGGUUCCGUGCCGUAGCUAACGCUUUAAGUACCCCGCCUGGGGAGUACGGCCGCAAGGCUAAAACUCAAAGGAAUUGACGGGGCCCCGCACAAGCGGCGGAGCAUGCGGAUUAAUUCGAUGCAACGCGUAGAACCUUACCUGGGUUUGACAUGGAUCGGGAGUGCUCAGAGAUGGGUGUGCCUCUUUUGGGGUCGGUUCACAGGUGGUGCAUGGCUGUCGUCAGCUCGUGUCGUGAGAUGUUGGGUUAAGUCCCGCAACGAGCGCAACCCUUGUUCACUGUUGCCAGCACGUUAUGGUGGGGACUCAGUGGAGACCGCCGGGGUCAACUCGGAGGAAGGUGGGGAUGACGUCAAGUCAUCAUGCCCCUUAUGUCCAGGGCUUCACGCAUGCUACAAUGGCUGGUACAGAGAGUGGCGAGCCUGUGAGGGUGAGCGAAUCUCGGAAAGCCGGUCUCAGUUCGGAUUGGGGUCUGCAACUCGACCUCAUGAAGUCGGAGUCGCUAGUAAUCGCAGAUCAGCAACGCUGCGGUGAAUGCGUUCCCGGGGCU